RNAcentral lists this long non-coding RNA (3425 nucleotides) under Arabidopsis lyrata. RNAcentral describes it as "long non-coding RNA (ALYR_LNC001338)". Lineage: Eukaryota; Viridiplantae; Streptophyta; Magnoliopsida; Brassicales; Brassicaceae. The record is from RNAcentral.
UUCAACUCAAGUUUUUACAGUGGCUAAUGAUUGAUAUUUAAGGACAAAGGUAAUCAAUGAUGUCAUGACAGGUGUCCUUUAGCACGUGACUUCACAUGAUCCAAGAGCUCCAAAUUUGUUAUGAAGGAAGCUUCCUGGAACCUUGCAUUGCUUCGGGAAUCUUCUGAGAACGUUAUCUUGCUUUGUGUUGCUGCAGGAUAACGACUGAGUAUUAAUGGGCUUUGACUGAGUUUCUUUGAUGGGCUUCAGUGUUUGUGUUGCAGGUCCAGCUUCACUUGAGAGCAAAACCUCUGUUUCAGCUGGAGAGUUCCUUAUACUCCCCCGCAAACUUGGCGUGGGUGGCAAGCAAACGCCGAGUUUGAACCUCAAAUCAAAGAACGCUUGUUGAGGAAGAGACUUGGUGAAGACAUCUGCAAUCUGAUCAGGAGCUGGAAUGUGCUUAACAAUAAGAGCUCCAAGUGCAACCUGUUCUCGCACAUGAUGAAAGUCUCUAGCAAAGUGCUUUGUUUUUGAGUGAAGUGUAGGAUUGGCAGUGAGAUGAACCGCCGAGAGAUUAUCACAAUAUAACUCUGGAGUAAUAGGCUGAGCAACUCCUAUUUCCCGUAAGAGUGAAUUCAACCACAUUAUUUCUCGAGAAGCUAAUGAAAGAGUUCGAUACUCUGCUUCAGUGGAUGAAUGGGAAACAGUAGAAUGCUUCUUCGAAGACCAUGAUAUAAUAUUUUCUCCGAGGAAUGUACAGAAACCUCCUGUGCUGCGGCUAGUGUCUUUGCAACCUGACCAAUCACUGUCGCUGUAUACACGAAGAGUAGAGUCUGUAGUAUUCGAAAAAUUGAUACCCAUGCUUAUUGUACCUUUCACAUUACCAGUAGGUGGAUAAAGGCACCUAUAACCUUUAUAUUUUUCAUUAUAGCCUAAGAAGACACAAAGUAAUGAUCUAGGAUCAAUGUCAGGCCGGGUCAAUGUAAGAUAUUGGAGCUUCCCUGCCAAGCUUCUAAAAUAUGUAGGAUCAGAGAAUGGCUUUUAGAAGCUCAUAAGGACUUUUGUUGUCAGCUAAUGCAGAAGAUGGUAGCAGAUUGCCCAAAAAGGAAGCAGUGAAGAAAGCUUCUAACCAUAGAUAUUGAGGAAUCUUGCUUUGAAACAUCAUUGAGAGGCCAAGUUCAGUAAUGUGCCUAUGCUUUCUUUCAGCCAACCCAUUCUGUUGCGGUGUGUGAGGGCAUGAAAUGAGUUGCUUGAUGCCACAUGUGGCUAGAUGAGACACAAAUCUUGAGCUUAUGAACUCACCUCCUCCAUCACACUGAAAGUUAGCAAUUUUCUGCAUAAAAAGAUUCUCCACCAUUUGUUGAAACAAAACAAAAACAGAGAAGAAGUCGGAUUUGAGCUUGAGAGGAUAAAACCAGGUAAACCUUGAGUAAUUAUCAAUAAAAAUCACAUAAUAACGAAAUCCCUGAGCAGAAAUAACAGGUGCUGGACCCCAUAAGUCACAGUGGAUGCGUUCUAAGGGUCUUUUUGAAACAAAAUCAGAAGUAGAAAAUGGGAGUUUACAAGACUUUCCCAUCUGACAAGCAUCACACAAACGAUUGCUUGUUUUAUUCAUCACUAUAGCUUUAUUAUUGGAUAGGUGCUGCAGUAUUUCACCAUUAGGAUGUCCCAGUCGCAAGUGCCAAAUCUCCCCAGAAGUAGCUUGUUGUCUAGAAGAGUAAAACGCAGCAAACUGAGAAUUCUCUAACACAUAAAGAUCUUUAUGCCUGUUUCCUCGUGUGAGGAGCUGUUUGGUCCGUUUGUCCUUCACAACAACACCAUCAGAGUCAAAUUCAACAACACAAGGAUAAUCUGCUGUGAGUUUUGAUACCGAUAAUAGAGACUUUGUGAUGUUUGGACAAACUAAAACAUCUUCUAAAGGUAAAGUAGUACCUUGGAGAGUUGGAAUUGCUAUAGAACCAACAUGAGUGAUUGGAAGGAAUUCUCCAUUACCAACAAUAACUGCAUCAUCACCUCUGUAAGGUUGUGAGUGUUGGAGCUGAGCAGUAGAGUUGGUUAUGUGAGCUGUUGCCGCCGAGUCUGGAAGCCAUUCGUGACCCUGAGUCUGACCAGAGAGCGUCAUUGCAGCCAUUGCCGUGUGAACAUCUUCCAUCUGAUAUGAGUGAUCAAAUCUCUUGUAGCAUUUGACUGCUGAAUGACCAUACUUACCACAAAUCUGACAGGUUGGACGUUCUGAACCAGAAUCUGAGGAUUGAUAGUUGAUUUGUUGGUGAAACCCUCUUCCCCGUGUAGAGUAGCCACGACCUCUUCCACGAGAACCAGACCGACCAUUAUUCUGACCUCGACCUUGAGUGUAGUAGGUUUUGUCAGCAGUAAAGGCAAGAUGCGGUGUGACACUGGCUGCAGAAUUGUAUCCCUGAAGCUUAUCGUCAAAAUUUGUGAGACGAUAUCCAACAUCCUCAAAAGACUGAGUAGGAAAGGUAUCCAUUGAGUUUUCAAUAAAAGUGGAUAUGGAUUCAUAUUCCUGACCUAAACCAUGUAACACACCAUAGAUUUUCUCUGGAUCUGUGAGAGCACAACCAAUAGACGCAAGUUGAUCGCAUAUAGUUUUAGCCUCAGACAAGUAUUGAGUCAUAGAUUUUCCUUCCUUAGACAAAUUGUUUAAACGCCUUUGCAGAUCUAACUUUCUAGUAGCAGACACCCUAUUAUACUUCUUGGCCAAAGCAAACCAUACCUCCUGGGAUGUGUGGAGACCAUAGACAGAACGCAGAGCAUCCUCUGACAGAGACCCAAACAGCCAAGACAGCACAUUUUGAUCAUUCCUGACCCAUUUGACGAACUCUGGAUUUGGAGCUUCUGUGACCUGAUCUCCAUUGCGCACAGUUAUCGUAGGAGGAGGACGUGGAGUGCCACCAGUGACGUAGCCCACAAGCAUCUGACUCGAGAGAAAGCACUCGAACUGAGUCUUCCAUAGCAAGUAGUUUGAUUCAGUGAGUUUUAGUGUAACACACUGAGAGAUUCUCAAAGCGGAAAGAGAAAAAGAUUCAGGAGAGCCAUCCAUGGCUCUGAUACCAUGAAAGCUUUAAGAAAGCUAGAGAGAAAAUUUUGGAGAAGAAGAACUUUUCUUGUCUUUAUUCAACUCAAGUUUUUACAGUGGCUAAUGAUUGAUAUUUAAGGACAAAGGUAAUCAAUGAUGUCAUGACAGGUGUCCUUUAGCACGUGACUUCACAUGAUCCAAGAGCUCCAAAUUUGUUAUGAAGGAAGCUUCCUGGAACCUUGCAUUGCUUCGGGAAUCUUCUGAGAACGUUAUCUUGCUUUGUGUUGCUGCAGGAUAACGACUGAGUAUUAAUGGGCUUUGACUGAGUUUCUUUGAUGGGCUUCAGUGUUUGUGUUGCAGGUCCAGCUUCACUUGAGAGCAAAACCUCUGUUUCAGCUGGAGAGUUCCU